RNAcentral lists this ribosomal RNA (447 nucleotides) under uncultured bacterium. RNAcentral's name for it is "partial 16S ribosomal RNA". It matches the Rfam family "Bacterial small subunit ribosomal RNA", at positions 29 to 523 of the family's 1533-position model. The record is from RNAcentral.
AACGAACGCUGGCGGCAGGCUUAACACAUGCAAGUCGAACGCCCCGCAAGGGGAGUGGCAGACGGGUGAGUAACGCGUGGGAAUCUACCCAUCCCUACGGCACAACUCCGGGAAACUGGCGCUAAUACCGUAUACGCCCUAAGGGGGAAAGAUUGAUCGGGGAUAGAUGAGCCCGCGUUGGAUUAGCUAGUUGGUGGGGUAAAGUCCUACCAAGGCGACGAUCCAUAGCUGGUAUGAGAGGAUGAUCAGCCACAUUGGGACUGCGACACGGCCCAAACUCCUACGGGAGGCAGCAGUGGGGAAUAUUGGACAAUGGGCGCAAGCCUGAUCCAGCCAUGCCGCGUGAGUGAUGAAGGUCUUAGGAUUGUAAAGCUCUUUCACCGGAGAGGAUAAUGACGGUAUCCGGAGAAGAAGCCCCGGCUAACUUCGUGCCAGCCGCCGCGGUAA